This 398-nucleotide long non-coding RNA is filed under the name Mytilus galloprovincialis (Mediterranean mussel). The record is from RNAcentral. Lineage: Eukaryota; Metazoa; Mollusca; Bivalvia; Mytilida; Mytilidae.
GAUAGGUGUGAAAGGAAUCAAGGGUAGGAUAAUAACAAAGUCACAAGAUACAGAUGUUCUAAUCUUAUGCGUUCCUUACAUCCACUCCAUGCAGCAUACACAUGAGCUAUGGUUUCAAACAGACACUAUUACUUGAAUACAAGAUUUUCGCAUCUAUAUAAAUAUAGGAAGAUGUGGUGUGAGCGCCAAUGAGACAACUCUCCAUGCAAAUAACAAUUUAAAAAAGUAAGCCAUUAUAGGUCAAUGUACGGCCUUCAACACGGAGCCUUGGCUCACACCGAACAACAAGCUAUAAAGAGCCCCAAAAUUACUAUUGUAAAACCAUUCAAACGGGAAAACCACCGGUCUAAUCGAUAUAAAAAAGGAGAAACGAGAAACACGUAUAAAUUACAUAAACA